Molecule: long non-coding RNA, 315 nt
Organism: Danio aesculapii
Lineage: Eukaryota; Metazoa; Chordata; Actinopteri; Cypriniformes; Danionidae
Exons: 3
Source: RefSeq, a predicted model, not a curated record
AUAUUAGGUGUAAAUCAUUGUGACAGAUAUAGACUAGAAAUUUAAAGUUUGCUGUAUCAAAUCCAGGUAGCAGUGGGCCAGAUUGAAACGGUCCGAUGCACUUCACUUGCAAUGCAGAUCAUCAUUUCUGGACAGCUUUCUACUUACUGCUGUGGACAUGAAAGGAUCGUCCUAGGCUUGCCCAUGCUGAUGGGCUGCACCACAGCAGUACUGGAGCUGAAUUCCUGUUAGAAAACAUCUUCAGGAUGCUUUGACCAGGACACCUCCAAUGUGAAGCAGUGGACAGCUGAAGAUGUUGCUGGCUGUUAUUACUAG